Molecule: ribosomal RNA, 402 nt
Filed under: uncultured prokaryote
Description: bacterial SSU rRNA
Rfam family: Bacterial small subunit ribosomal RNA
Source: RNAcentral
UAACGAAUCUUCCGCAAUGCACGAAAGUGUGACGGAGCGACGCCGCGUGUAGGAUGAAGUCCUUCGGGAUGUAAACUACUGUCAGGGGAAAGAAAGUUCUGAUCUACCCCAGAGGAAGGGACGGCUAACUCUGUGCCAGCAGCCGCGGUAAGACAGAGGUCCCGAGCGUUAGGCGGAAUCACUGGGCUUAAAGCGUGUGUAGGCGGAUUGACAAGUACCUGGUGAAAUCCCACGGCUCAACUGUGGAACUGCUUGGGAUACUGUUGAUCUUGAGACAUGUAGGGGCAACUGGAACAAACGGUGGAGCGGUGAAAUGCGUAGAUAUCGUUUGGAGCGCCAAUGGUGAAAGCAGGUUGCUGGGGAUGUACUGACGCUGAGACACGAAAGCCAGGGGAGCAAACG